UAGUCACCCUUGAGUCCACCGCCGGAUGU
Molecule: small RNA, 29 nt
Filed under: Bombyx mori (domestic silkworm)
Lineage: Eukaryota; Metazoa; Arthropoda; Insecta; Lepidoptera; Bombycidae
Description: ovarian small RNA-22973
Source: RNAcentral